CCAAUAUCUUUGAUUUUAACAUUGUAUGUAAUGUAUUUCUAUUGUAAAAGAAAGUGGUUUGAUAUUCAAUGUUUAAAACAUAAUGACAUGUGUUAUCAAUAAUGGCACCGUAAUAAUUCCAUGUUGGAUGUUAAAGACAAGGCUUCGAGUUUAAAACAGGACGUUAAGCAACAAACAAUCAAUCAAUUAAAACUGAACAUUUCAGCAAUAAUUUGUUAAGCUUAUGAAUAACAUUACGUUACAACAUUAUGUGCAGUCUUUAAUAUUGAAAAAAUUGCGUUCAUAAAAACCUUCUACCACUACAACACACACUAACAUGAGAAUUUUCAACUCCUUCAACUGUUCCUGGUUUAAGUUUUGGUAUCGCGGUAUUGGUUUGGAUAUGGUUGCGGCUUAUUACUUUUAUUGUGAAAAUUUCUAAGCACAAACCAUUAUUUGUCAUUCCAAUUGAUAAACAAUGUUUCCUGAAUAUUGCUAGUAUAUUUGAUUCAACCCAACAGUUUAUCUUUAAAUUACAAAACCACUUCAGUUUAAAACAAACGGAAACGGUCACAAAAAUGGUCACAUCCGAAACAUAUUUUCAAAUUGUAAGAAAUUGUUCUGAUGCAUUUUAAAACAUGUUCAUUCACAACUCACAAUAUGGUUAGUUUUGCUCAAAUUGAUUUACCUAUUCUUAUCUGAAUUACCUAUUUUUAUUUGAAUCAUUUUGUUUUCAAAUAUUUGACAAUUGGAAGGACUUGUUGGUAAAAGUGUGAUCAAAUAUUCAUUCAGAAUUUGUCAAUAUUUUCAACGAUUUCCUGGACUUGGCUCCUUUAGCAGACAACCUAAUGUCAUCUUAUUUAACAUUGAUUCAGCAUGUUAUUUCUGUUUAAGUUAGUUAUUAUUUUUUUUAUUUUCCUAAUGCUUUUCUGCAUAAAGUAAACUAAAACUUACAAUCCUCAAUGAUUUCCUCGAACAUUUUUACAUUAAUUGUAAAAAAUAUGCUUACAUAUUAUAUUACAGUCAUUUGGAAAUACCUAAUUAAAAAACCGAUGAAUCAUUAUAAUUUGUUAAAUUUCUGCUUAAUAUCUCGAAGAUUGCCGAGAUUUUUCUCCAAUUUCAGAUCAAAAACAGGUAAGAAAUGUAUGUUUGCUUUUGUUAGAUGUUAGAUCUAUAAUUUAAAAUGAUACUGAAAAGAAAAAAUCAUAGAAAAUACGGUGUUUUCAAAAUUUUAUUAGUAUAUUUGAUUCUACGCAACAAUUUCUCUUAAUUUGUCUUUAAAUAACAUAGCCAAUACAUUAAUAAAUACUCACCAUAUGCGUGAUUUGAUGUUUUCUUCUACUUUGUGCAAUAUAAAGGUAUUGAAACGAACAUAGAAAUUAUCAUAUUCCUAACAAAUUUUCAAAAUAUAAAUUUUUUAAAGCAUUUUAAAGAUUUUCAACCACUCACUAUACAGUUGACCUUGCUGAAAUGAAUUUUCAAAUGUUUGUUUGAAACUUCUUGUUUACAUAUUUUCUGACGAUCAAUUCGGAGGACCUGUUGGUUGGUGAUCUGAACCCUUUCCAUUCAGAUUUGAGUUCAUAUUUUAGACAAUUUGCGACACUUGUCUUGUAUUGCACUCCUAUAAAAUGAUAUCUGAUAAAGCAUGGAUUCAGCAUGAUAUUUUAUUGUCCGGUAGUUUAUUUUGAUCUUUUUAUUUUAAAUAUGCUUUUCAACAAAAUAUUAUCCACAACUUGCAGUGCAGCUAUAUUUGUGCAAACAAUUUUACCAUUUAUUGUCUGAAAAUACAAGUAAAAUUAUAAAAUAUAUUUGAGGGUCCAUCAGAAAUACCUCUGAGUAAAAGCUCUGAACAAUUUUCGAUCAAAAACUAAUAAAACAUGUUGCUUUUUCGUGAAAUCCAUGUCACACGUACAAAAUACUCAAAAAGCAAACAAAUUCUUGUCGUUUAGGUUUACAAUAUGGAAUUUUUUCAACAUAUGAUAAGUAUAUUUGAAAUACUUGUUGAUAAAACCGCUGAAUAAUUUGUCAUUCCGUUUCUGUCAAUUAUUUUUGGUCAUUAUUGUUAACCGAGUUCUGAAGAUUUUCUCGGGUGCAGAUGAUCAAAACCUUGUAUAGUAUGUUUAAUUGUUUUUGCGUUUUAUUUGUUUCAUACGUUAAAAUACAUUUCACAAGACACUUAAUUUUGCUAAAAUGGAUUUACAAAUAUAUGUUUGCAAAUUCUUGUUGAUAAAACCGCUGAAUAAUUUGUCAUUCCGUUUCUGUCAAUUAUUUUUGGUCAUUAUUGUUAACCGAGUUCUGAAGAUUUUCUCGGGUGCAGAUGAUCAAAACCUUGUAUAGUAUGUUUAAUUGCUUUUGCGUUUUAUUUGUUUCAUACGUUAAAAUACAUUUCACAAGACACUUAAUUUUGCUAAAAUGGAUUUACAAAUAUAUGUUUGCAAAUUCUUGUUAACAUAUUUUUAGACGUUUAUUCAGGGGACCUGUUGUUUAAAGAAAUCUGUAAGCUACAACUUCUAAUGCAGCUUUAUAUGCCUAAAUAUUUUUCCCAUAUAUUGUUUAAAAAAUGCAGGUUAACAUAUUUUUUGCGGUUAGUCAAAAAUACCUGUUCUUAAAAGCGGCCAACAAAUUGUCGUUCCGUUUCUGUCAAUUAUUUUGGGUUACAUUUUUUAAACAAUUUCUGAAGUUUCUUCGAAUUGCAAUAACAAAAUGUGAUAGUAUGUUGAACUGCUUUUCCAUUUUAUAUGUUUUUGUAACGUUAAAAUAAAACAGUUAGUUUUGCUAAAAUAUAUUUACAAAUUUGUGCUUGAAAAUUGUUGUUUACACAUUUCUGACAGUCAAUUUGAAGGAUCUGUUGCUUUUCAACACAAUGCAAGCCACAACUUCCAUUGCUGCUAGAUUUGCUCAAUUAUGUUGCCAUUUUAUGCGUUCAGUCGGAGAUACAUUUUGAUAGAAGCGCUGAACAAUUCGUCGUUGCGUUUCGGUCAAUUAUUUUUUGGUCAUUAUUUUUACCCGAUUUAUGAAGUUUUACGAUAAAAAAACAACUCACAAGAGAGUGAUUUUUAAUUGAUUUACCAAUUUUGUCUGAAAUUUACAUAUUUAUUGAGUUCAAUUCAGGGGACCUGUUGUUUAAAAAAAUCUGUAAGCUAAAGCUUCAAAUCCAGCUAUAUUUUCUCAAAUAUUUUUUCUGCUUAUAAUGUUUUAAAAAUGCAGGUUUAAAUAUUUUUUGUGGUUAGUCGGAAAUACCUGUUCCUGUUUUUGUUAAUAGUUUUCUCAUUUAUUUUCUGAAAAAUACAGGUUCAAAUAUGUUUAUCUGAAAAGUCUUGCAAUCCUCAUUGAAUCGUAACUGUGCACGAUUACAAGCCUCACUUUCAAUUUUGCUACAUGAGAGGACGCAUUGCCUACCUCCAAGGAUUCGGGAGAUGAAGACACCCACCUAAGACGAAAAGAAGGAUUAUGAUCUUGUGAAAAGAGUAUCAGAUCUAGAAAAGUCAAAGAAAGAUAACAUAAAAGAGUUGAAAGAUAAAGUGAGGAGUUUAGCUUUACAGGCCAACUCAAGCGAGCCUCUAAUUCUCCUCACUCUAGACAUUUGGCAAAUUAGGCGAGAUGGCAAAACGAUGAUGACGCAGAAACAUUCGACGAAUUAGCGCGAGAAACACAAAGACAUCAGGCGUCGAUAAAUUUUGCCACUCUAACUUUGAAUGUAUUAGGAGGGAAGCUUCUGAUUUAGUAGGAAAAGCUACGGCAAAAGGUCUGAAGGAGAAGGAAGUUGAACAAAAUAUCACAGGAAAUAAAGUUUAUCAAAUUGAAAAAAUGGAAACCAUUUCACCUUUGGCUAAUGCUUAAACCACUGCUACAUGUUUGCCUAAACAUUUCAUACCUCAGUUGCCUACUGGAUGGCAACAAGGAAUGUUUCCUUUUAGUACUAGUAUGUACCAUACCCAAGACCCAAGAAGAUUUAGUCCAAGAAAUGGCCAGUGGCUGUAGAGAGGAAAUUGUUACUUCUGAUCACUCUGUGAAGAAUUGUGAGAAGAUGAAAAACGAUAAAGGAAAAUAACUGUAUCGGUUGUAAUAUCUAGUUUGUAACAAUUUUGAUAUAUAGUUUUAUAUUGAUUUGUGCUUUGAAUUAUAACUUGUAGUUUUAAAGAUUAUUAAAGUUUUGCAUGAAUUUUA
This is a long non-coding RNA of Mytilus californianus (California mussel), 4146 nucleotides long. RefSeq lists it as uncharacterized. The transcript has 2 exons. The record is from RefSeq and is a predicted model, not a curated record. NCBI's taxonomy places the organism in Eukaryota, Metazoa, Mollusca, Bivalvia, Mytilida, Mytilidae.